This is a long non-coding RNA of Chroicocephalus ridibundus (black-headed gull), 633 nucleotides long. RefSeq lists it as uncharacterized. Lineage: Eukaryota; Metazoa; Chordata; Aves; Charadriiformes; Laridae. The record is from RefSeq and is a predicted model, not a curated record. The transcript is spliced from 5 exons.
UUGGAAUACAGAGGAGUUUUAUUUAUAUUUUUAUGUUCCAGGGAGGGCCGCCUGUGAUUCCAAGACCCCAUUUCUUCUUUUCUGGUCUAAUGUGCUCAGUUUGGGCUGCUUUCCGCUGGUCUGUGUGAUCUUGCUCACCUGUUUCUGUUGUUGAAUGCUAUCGGGAACAUCAAGCCGCAAUAAAAUGGGGAAAAGCUACAUUGUCUUGUGGUUCUGGGAGUUCCAAGAAAUGGCCAGUGUGAAAGGUGAAGCAGAGGUUAAAUAAAAAGUAGGAGGCAGCUAUUAAAGACCAAGAAAGAUUCUGUCAGAACUCAAAGUCUGACCAGAAGACACUUCUGCACAAAUGUAGCUGUACUGGAGUCCUGUACUUGCUUGACCAGAUGCUUCAGGAUGAUGAGAGCACUCGCUGAAGCACACUGCUGGCUGGGUGUUAUCAUUGUCUCCUGACGUGAAGUUCAUUCCUCACAUCAGGAGGUUUACUCAUGCUUAUCUUCAGAAGCUUUAAUACAAAGACUGACGCAGAAAUGGAGUCCGUAAAAACCAAACUUUUUGUUAGUUUGCAAGGACCCAUAGGAAUCUAUGUCAAUCUUUGUAAAGAAGUGCCAUCUACAGCCUAUCUUAGGCAAACUGUUU